Molecule: non-coding RNA, 300 nt
Organism: Callipepla squamata (scaled quail)
Lineage: Eukaryota; Metazoa; Chordata; Aves; Galliformes; Odontophoridae
Rfam family: Metazoan signal recognition particle RNA
About the family: The signal recognition particle (SRP) is a universally conserved ribonucleoprotein. It is involved in the co-translational targeting of proteins to membranes.
Source: Rfam
GCCGGGCGCGGUGGCGCACGCCUGUAGUCCCAGCUACUCGGGAGGCUGAGCUCGCCGGAUCGCUUGAGCCCAGGAGUUCUGGGCUGCAGUGCGCUAUGCCGAGCGGGCGUCCGCGCUAAGGCCGGCAUCAAUAUGGUGAGCCUCGGGGAGCCGGGGCACACCAGGUUGCCUAAGGAGGGGUGAACCGGCCCAGGUCGGAAACGGAGCAGGUCAAAACUCCCGUGCCGGUCAGUAGCGGGAUCGCGCCUGUGAAUAGCCACUGCAGCGUAGCCUGGGCAACACAGAGAGACGCGGGUUCCU